Molecule: long non-coding RNA, 2449 nt
Organism: Setaria italica (foxtail millet)
Lineage: Eukaryota; Viridiplantae; Streptophyta; Magnoliopsida; Poales; Poaceae
Exons: 2
Source: RefSeq, a predicted model, not a curated record
UCUGCUAAUCCUCCCGCACCACCCGCUAACCCUAACCUUGCCUACCCACCCCGCCUUUUCCUUGGCCCUUAAGUUGCUUCGUUCCCCUGCUGGAAAUCCUUUCUCGUCUAGAUCCAAACUACGUUCCUUUCUACAUGCCGAUCUCGUCUAGAUCUAGAUCGAAACAAGUUUCCUUUCUCCAUGCCGAUCCGUGUGGUUUACUUCUCGUCGGAUGCUUUGUCGGAUCGACGAACGGUGAAUAUCUCUCCGUUGUUUGUCUGCUCGAAACACAUGGGCUUGUUUUGUGAUGUGCAGAUUCAGAUCUGAUUAAGAGUUGCGCGUGCGCCGGCUCGGAUCGAGACGAGGCUGCGUCGAUGUGUGCGCGGUGGCUGCUGGUCUGCAUGUUUGGGCGCGUCGGAUCUGAUGUUGAGCUGGGACGUCUCGGCGAGAUUGGGGUGAUCUGGCGGUUUCGGAGGCGUGGAAGGGACGCGGCGGUGUGGUCGGAUUGCUGGAUUUGCUUCAACUCUCCUGAUGAUAUCUCUUUGUAUUGAUAAUUAUUGGAUGGAAUUUCCAUAAUUAUUAGAUCCGAGAGAUGUUGCUCGGGGAAAUCCGUGCCUUGAAGGCGAGGUAAGCUAAACACAUGUAACCAGCGAGUUGCGUGUGGAGUCGGGAGGAGAAAAGAAAAAAAGAUGUGAAAAAAGAGAAGAUGUGAAAAAAAAAGAUGUGACAUCUUGAAGGCCUUUGCCAUGAUGGGUGCGCUCGCAUGGCAGGCCACCGUAAUAAAGAUGUUGAUUUUGUGCCUCGGGUGGGAGAUCGCACGGGGGGUUAUUUUUUUUAUCCCCCGGGUUCUCCCUCCCCUUGUGUCCCUGUGCCCGCUUCUUCUUGUUGGCUACACGUCUCCCUGGUACACCUCGGGCAUUCUACAAUUUGGCAAGGAGCUACAGCGCCGCACGCAAGGUACAAUUGGCAAUCUGAAGUUGCAAUUCAUAUUACAUACUAAUCCAUACUUAUGCUGUUGCAAUUUAUAAUGCAAACUAGAUAAAUUUCUUAACGUCUAUAACUAAGCGAAGUUUAGUGGUGCAAUCAUCAAUCCUUGUUGCUUGUAGUACGUGCUUUCAGUAACUCAUUAACUUCACGGUUAAAGCAGUCAUCCAUGCCAUGCUUCUUAAUUUUAGGACGUGCCAAGUCAUAGUGCACCCAUCUGUUCUUCCAUCCGAGCAACACCACUGACACACGAACGACGCGUACUGUUCGAUUUUUAAGUCGAUCUGCGUACCAAAUUGAAAAAAUGAAUUAAUUAACUCUAUCGAGAGAAACCUGGCGAUGAUAACUGCUGGUUUCUGAAUUACACCUUCACACCUCAAUACUAUCAGCUGUGAAUCUACUGAGUUCAAUUAUGUGGCAAAUGUGUCACGUUCUGAAUUACACCUUCACACCUCACCUUCACACCUUAAUACUAUCAGCUAUGAAUCUUCUGAGUUAAAUUGUGUAUGUGGCAAAUGUGUCGUGGCUGCUACGCUGAUUCUUUUAAGUGUUACUUUCAUGCUUCAAUUAGCACCUCACCUAGGAUUUCUGUCAAGAAACAUGAAAUUCUAUAUAUAUUGGGCACUGUAAGUUCUCUGUUAUAUUUUGUUCUGAGUGUUAAUUUUGAAUUAUAUCAAUAUCUAGAAUGAUCAAGUGUUGCAAGUUUAUGUGAUAUUUAGUUCUAUAGUGGUUAUGCAAGAUGCAGCUAUUCAACUAGUUUAUUGUAAUCAGUUUGUGUAAGUGCAAUUUGUCUUCCCUUGUAAGUUGUAUAAGGACAUGUACGAGGAUGUAUGGCGAGAUGGCGUGCUGGUUUAUGAAGCUUCCAGCUGUUCUCUUCCCUGGAAGAUACUGCUGAGGCUUCGUGCCUCCUGGGCGGAACUGCCUCCUGGGAGUUCCGCAGCUGCUCAUGCUCCUGGGAGUUCUGAAGUUCUUGCUGGUGCUUUCAGCGGUUAUGUUGCUGAAGCUUCCUAAAUGUCUUCGGUUGGAGUUCUGGAGUUAUGAUGUCUUCUGCUGAAGUCGAAGCUUUGCUGAAGCCUCCUAAAUAUCUGAAAUUUUCUGUGGGUUUAUUGGUCGAGCUCCCCCGUGGUCUAGAAAAGUAUUUCACCAAGUAUUUCACCACUUGAGCGGACCGUCUGGCUGCUUGGCGGGUUUCACAAUAUAUGGUGACUGAUGCUGCUUAAUUUUUGUACACAUGUUUUGUCGUUGCAAUUGUUCUUGUCGUAUUUUUUGAGGUUGAGCUGUAAGAGUAGUUCACCUGGAGAGUACAUUAUCUACAGUUCUGCUGGCAUUUUUUUGGAGGAGACAACGUGGAAGAGGUUUGGGCUGAAGGUAUAUCUGAUUUCACUCAUUCAUUGCUAUCCGACACUCAACUUUGUAUUGUAAUUUGUUGCAACUGCUGUGCAUGUGUCCGAAGCAGUUUACAUUUUGUAUAAGCUUAGGUUUUUUA